GGGUUGUGAGGUUAAGCGACUAAGCGUACACGGUGGAUGCCCUGGCAGUCAGAGGCGAUGAAGGGCGUGCUAAUCUGCGAUAAGCGCCGGUAAGGUGAUAUGAACCGUUAUAACCGGCGAUACCCGAAUGGGGAAACCCAGUGUGACUCGUCACACUAUCAUUAACUGAAUCCAUAGGUUAAUGAGGCGAACCGGGGGAACUGAAACAUCUAAGUACCCCGAGGAAAAGAAAUCAACCGAGAUUCCCCCAGUAGCGGCGAGCGAACGGGGAGGAGCCCAGAGCCUGAAUCAGCAUGUGUGUUAGUGGAAGCGUCUGGAAAGGCGCGCGAUACAGGGUGACAGCCCCGUACACAAAAGCGCAUGUGUUGUGAGCUCGAUGAGUAGGGCGGGACACGUGGUAUCCUGUCUGAAUAUGGGGGGACCAUCCUCCAAGGCUAAAUACUCCUGACUGACCGAUAGUGAACCAGUACCGUGAGGGAAAGGCGAAAAGAACCCCGGCGAGGGGAGUGAAAAAGAACCUGAAACCGUGUACGUACAAGCAGUGGGAGCACCCUUUGGGGUGUGACUGCGUACCUUUUGUAUAAUGGGUCAGCGACUUAUAUUCUGUAGCAAGGUUAACCGAAUAGGGGAGCCGGAGGGAAACCGAGUCUUAAU
Molecule: ribosomal RNA, 654 nt
Filed under: Salmonella enterica subsp. enterica serovar Paratyphi B var. L(+) tartrate +
Lineage: Bacteria; Pseudomonadati; Pseudomonadota; Gammaproteobacteria; Enterobacterales; Enterobacteriaceae
Description: partial 23S ribosomal RNA
Rfam family: Bacterial large subunit ribosomal RNA
Source: RNAcentral